This 57-nucleotide ribosomal RNA is filed under the name Bacteroidota bacterium. RNAcentral's name for it is "Bacteroidetes bacterium partial 23S ribosomal RNA". Lineage: Bacteria; Pseudomonadati; Bacteroidota. The record is from RNAcentral.
UGUAAAGAUGGUAACAUCAAAGCCGAGUAGUUCUAAUUGCCCGUACGCUUUAAUUUU